Molecule: small RNA, 62 nt
Filed under: Escherichia coli 3.2608
Lineage: Bacteria; Pseudomonadati; Pseudomonadota; Gammaproteobacteria; Enterobacterales; Enterobacteriaceae
Description: sRNA P26
Rfam family: Pseudomonas sRNA P26
About the family: P26 is conserved across many Gammaproteobacteria species and appears to be consistently located between the DNA directed RNA polymerase (beta subunit) and 50S ribosomal protein L7/L12 genes.
Source: RNAcentral
ACCCUUCCCGUUGCAGCCUGAGAAAUCAGGCUGAUGGCUGGUGACUUUUUAGUCACCAGCCU